This 1129-nucleotide ribosomal RNA is filed under the name Salmonella enterica subsp. enterica serovar Enteritidis. Its description in RNAcentral is "partial 23S ribosomal RNA". It matches the Rfam family "Bacterial large subunit ribosomal RNA", at positions 161 to 1330 of the family's 2925-position model. Lineage: Bacteria; Pseudomonadati; Pseudomonadota; Gammaproteobacteria; Enterobacterales; Enterobacteriaceae. The record is from RNAcentral.
AAUCCAUAGGUUAAUGAGGCGAACCGGGGGAACUGAAACAUCUAAGUACCCCGAGGAAAAGAAAUCAACCGAGAUUCCCCCAGUAGCGGCGAGCGAACGGGGAGGAGCCCAGAGCCUGAAUCAGCAUGUGUGUUAGUGGAAGCGUCUGGAAAGGCGCGCGAUACAGGGUGACAGCCCCGUACACAAAAGCGCAUGUGCUGUGAGCUCGAUGAGUAGGGCGGGACACGUGGUAUCCUGUCUGAAUAUGGGGGGACCAUCCUCCAAGGCUAAAUACUCCUGACUGACCGAUAGUGAACCAGUACCGUGAGGGAAAGGCGAAAAGAACCCCGGCGAGGGGAGUGAAAAAGAACCUGAAACCGUGUACGUACAAGCAGUGGGAGCACCCUUUGGGUGUGACUGCGUACCUUUUGUAUAAUGGGUCAGCGACUUAUAUUCUGUAGCAAGGUUAACCGAAUAGGGGAGCCGGAGGGAAACCGAGUCUUAACCGGGCGUUAAGUUGCAGGGUAUAGACCCGAAACCCGGUGAUCUAGCCAUGGGCAGGUUGAAGGUUGGGUAACACUAACUGGAGGACCGAACCGACUAAUGUUGAAAAAUUAGCGGAUGACCUGUGGCUGGGGGUGAAAGGCCAAUCAAACCGGGAGAUAGCUGGUUCUCCCCGAAAGCUAUUUAGGUAGCGCCUCGUGAAUUCAUCUCCGGGGGUAGAGCACUGUUUCGGCUAGGGGGCCAUCCCGGCUUACCAACCCGAUGCAAACUGCGAAUACCGGAGAAUGUUAUCACGGGAGACACACGGCGGGUGCUAACGUCCGUCGUGAAGAGGGAAACAACCCAGACCGCCAGCUAAGGUCCCAAAGUCAUGGUUAAGUGGGAAACGAUGUGGGAAGGCCCAGACAGCCAGGAUGUUGGCUUAGAAGCAGCCAUCAUUUAAAGAAAGCGUAAUAGCUCACUGGUCGAGUCGGCCUGCGCGGAAGAUGUAACGGGGCUAAACCAUGCACCGAAGCUGCGGCAGCGACACUGUGUGUUGUUGGGUAGGGGAGCGUUCUGUAAGCCUGUGAAGGUGUGUCGUGAGGCAUGCUGGAGGUAUCAGAAGUGCGAAUGCUGACAUAAGUAACGAUAAAGCGGGUGAAAAGCC